GAAGCAUCGUUUUUCCUUUGAUGGAAACAGUUGCUUUGGCGCGCUCCGUUUUUAAAGCACGGCCGGCAGCAGCAACUGCAACUUUUUUUAAGCAUCCGUGACGUUCUUCUAGUUGCUCCUUUAUUUCUGUUAUUAUUUUUGAAACGGCCAGAAUAUCAUGUAUUUGGCCAUCCAGCAUGGAACG
This 184-nucleotide non-coding RNA is filed under the name Bacillus methanolicus MGA3. Lineage: Bacteria; Bacillati; Bacillota; Bacilli; Caryophanales; Bacillaceae. The record is from RNAcentral.